AAAUUUUUCCCCUUUUCACCAAAUCACCAAAUCAGAGAAAGGUUUCUACCUUCACCAAAAUUUUUCGCGCCCUCAUUACCUUCACCAAAUCAGAGAAAGGUUUCCACCUUUGUGCCCUCACCUUCACGCUAUCACCUUCGCUACUACCUUUGCCACUCACCAUCGCUCCUCUUUCCCACUCACCACUCACCACUUCGCCACUCAUCGUCGCUCCUCUUCGCCCUUCUGUACUGAUUGUUGUUGCGCACUCACCAUUGGGAAGACUCUGCACUCAGCAUUGUCCUCUCUACACUCAACACCGUCGAGAAGGCAUGUAUUCAUCAUCAUUUAGUUCUAAAAUUUGAGAGGGUUAGGGUUCCAAUUUAGGAUUUUUAAUUUGGGAGUUUGGUACAAUAAUCUGUAAGAUAUGCAUUUGUGGAUUGUGAUUUGAUGAACAUGCAUGCUAUUGUUGUUGUGCAUGUGAACUCGUACCCAACUGUUUGAGGAUUUACUGAGGUGAGGACUUCGUGCAAUCAAUGGUUGUUGCCGUGUAAUCUGUAAUCCAACAGCCCAUUCCUAAGGGUAAAAAAUAAACCAAAAAGGCAACUCCUAACAAAUCCCCUAAGAAAGGAUAUACAGAAACACAUGCCAAGAAGCAAAAGCAAUGUUCAAAUGUUGGUAAAAAGAGAAAGCAAUCUUCUGAUGUUGAGGAGGAUGAUAAAGAGGAAGUGUCGGAUGCUGAAGAGGCAUCUCAUGAUGAUGAAGAUGUUAGAGUUUCAAAUGAUGAAAGUAAAGAGGAAAAUAAAUUAGAGGAAGAGGAAGAAAAACCAAGCACCCAAAAGCGCACUCUUAAAAAGAUUGCAAAAGAGGGUUCAACCGGCAAAGCAGGAGAGAAAUCUACGUUAGGCAAGAAGACAUCUGUGAAGGCUGCUAAGAUUCUGAGAAAACUCCAAAGAAGUCCUCUUAAAAAAAGACUGACUAGGAUAGUGCUUUUGCAUCCAAAAAGCCGAAAACCUCUAGUGAAAAGUCGGAUACUAAAGGAAAGGCUACAAGUAAAACACAAAAAGAGAAGUCGUCAAAAGCUUUAGUGAAGGAUCAAGGAAAAGGAAAAGGUAGUAAGAAGUCCAAGAAGAAACCUAGCAGGGAGGACAUGCAUGCAGUUGUAGUCGAUAUUCUGAAGGAAGUUGAUUUUAAUACUGGCAGGAAUGGCUUAGAGGAUGGAAAGGAAGCAUGCAAAAGUGGAAGAAAUACAAGAAAUUGAGAAUUUCAGGAUCUGGUAGCGACGCGCACGCGUGGACGAUGCGUACGCGUAACUGAGUCAAUGUCCAAGUGAUGCGCAUGCGUGGCUGAUGCCUACGCGUGACCAGUGCCGAGUUCAAGCAACGCGUAUGCGUGGGCGACACGUACGCGUGACAAAGUGUCACGUGCUGUAAUUGUAGAAAACGCUGGGGACAAUUUCUGGGCUGCUUUUGAUCCAGUUUCAGGCCUGAAAAUACUUAUUAGAGGCUACAAAGUGAGGCUGGGGGGAUCCAUUAUUCACACUUUCAUUCAUACAAUUUAGGUUUAGAUGUAGUUUUCUAGAGACUCCUCUCUCUAGGUUUUAAGGUUUCUUCUUUCAAUUUCUCCUUAGGUUCAGGUUCAAUCUUCCUUUAAUUUAGUGUUCUCUUACUUUUAUUUG
Molecule: RNA transcript, 1657 nt
Organism: Arachis stenosperma
Lineage: Eukaryota; Viridiplantae; Streptophyta; Magnoliopsida; Fabales; Fabaceae
Exons: 5
Source: RefSeq, a predicted model, not a curated record